GCGAAGGUGGUGAAACUGGUAGACACGCUAGGUUGAGGGCCUAGUGGCCGAUAAGGCCGUGGGGGUUCGACUCCCCCUCUUCGCACCA
This 88-nucleotide transfer RNA is filed under the name Myxococcales bacterium. RNAcentral describes it as "tRNA-Leu". It matches the Rfam family "tRNA". From Rfam's summary of the family: Transfer RNA (tRNA) molecules are approximately 80 nucleotides in length. Their secondary structure includes four short double-helical elements and three loops (D, anti-codon, and T loops). Lineage: Bacteria; Pseudomonadati; Myxococcota; Myxococcia; Myxococcales. The record is from RNAcentral.